UGAAGGAGAAAUGGGCAUUUCAACAAAGUUUUUAAUGAUGGAUAGUUGUUCUUUCUCUUGGAAUGCAAAGCUGGAUAAAAAUUACGGUCUAAAAAGGGUCUUUUUUUCCUCAAAUAGCAUGAAUUCUAUCCCAUAAUACUCAUCUCCAUCCCCCUUUUUAUUGAUCACUAAGAUAGAGAGAAAUUCCUUUAUAAGAUUUU
RNAcentral lists this long non-coding RNA (200 nucleotides) under Ricinus communis (castor bean). RNAcentral's name for it is "long non-coding RNA (RCOM_LNC000957)". The record is from RNAcentral. Lineage: Eukaryota; Viridiplantae; Streptophyta; Magnoliopsida; Malpighiales; Euphorbiaceae.